RNAcentral lists this transfer RNA (74 nucleotides) under Camelus bactrianus (Bactrian camel). It matches the Rfam family "tRNA". From Rfam's summary of the family: Transfer RNA (tRNA) molecules are approximately 80 nucleotides in length. Lineage: Eukaryota; Metazoa; Chordata; Mammalia; Artiodactyla; Camelidae. The record is from Rfam by way of RNAcentral. RNAcentral also lists the same sequence under 2 other names.
GAGGGUAUAGCUCAAGUGGUAGAGCACAUGCUUAGCAAUGCAUGAGGUCCUGGGUUCAAUCCCCAGCGCCUCCU